RNAcentral lists this ribosomal RNA (393 nucleotides) under uncultured bacterium. RNAcentral's name for it is "partial 16S ribosomal RNA". It matches the Rfam family "Bacterial small subunit ribosomal RNA", at positions 523 to 918 of the family's 1533-position model. The record is from RNAcentral.
AUACGGAGGAUGCAAGCGUUAUCCGGAUUUAUUGGGUUUAAAGGGAGCGUAGGUGGGAUAUUAAGUCAGCUGUGAAAGUUUGGGGCUCAACCUUAAAAUUGCAGUUGAUACUGGUUUCCUUGAGUACGGUAUAGGUGGGUGGAAUUCGUGGUGUAGCGGUGAAAUGUUUAGAUAUCACGAAGAACUCCGAUCGCGAAGGCAGCUCACCGGGCCGGAACUGACACUGAUGCUCGAAAGUGCGGGUAUCAAACAGGAUUAGAUACCCUGGUAGUCCGCACAGUAAACGAUGAAUACUCGCUGUUUGCGAUACACUGUAAGCGGCCAAGCGAAAGCGUUAAGUAUUCCACCUGGGGAGUACGCCGGCAACGGUGAAACUCAAAUGAAUUGGCGGGG